RNAcentral lists this long non-coding RNA (435 nucleotides) under Linum usitatissimum (flax). Its description in RNAcentral is "long non-coding RNA (LUSI_LNC007097)". Lineage: Eukaryota; Viridiplantae; Streptophyta; Magnoliopsida; Malpighiales; Linaceae. The record is from RNAcentral.
GGAGACAAAGUUUGAUCUUCAUUACUUGCUAAAAAUAGUAUACUAAACAAAUGUGAUAUCUAAUUUUAUAUUACUAAUCUACCCCUGCAUCCCUUAAAUAAUCUUAUCUUCCUUUUUUCGUAAAGAGAAAUAAAUCAUAAAUUCUAAAUAUAAAUAUAUUUUUGAUCCAGAAAAUAAAAUAAAAACACGAAAAAAGUGUGUGUGUGUGAGAGAGAGAGAGAGAGAAAUCUUUCCGGCAAAAUCUCGGUAGUCUAGUCUCUUCCAUAUCAGGAGCUAUAAACAACAAUAAACCCCACACAGGUCCAGCUUUUCCGUCGCCGGCAGCCGUUCACCGGGAUAGUAACUCUUAAACCAAACUCGAAACCGUCUAUUUCCUCAUCUCUUAUACUUGACGUCUGCUGGCAGGUUCCUUUCCUUUCUCAAUAGUGGAGAUNN